RNAcentral lists this ribosomal RNA (490 nucleotides) under uncultured bacterium. Its description in RNAcentral is "partial 16S ribosomal RNA". It matches the Rfam family "Bacterial small subunit ribosomal RNA", at positions 27 to 507 of the family's 1533-position model. The record is from RNAcentral.
GGACGAACGCUGGCGGCGUGCUUACCACAUGCAAGUCGAACGGUGAAGGGAUCAGCUUGCUGGUUCUGGAUGAGUGGCGAACGGGUGAGUAACACGUGAGUAACCUGCCCCCUUCUUCUGGAUAACCGCAUGAAAGUGUGGCUAAUACGGGAUAUUCUGCGCCUGCUGCAUGGUGGGUGUGGGAAAGAUAUUGUUUCGGUGGGGGAUGGGCUCGCGGCCUAUCAGCUUGUUGGUGGGGUGAUGGCCUACCAAGGCGGUGACGGGUAGCCGGCCUGAGAGGGUGGACGGUCACACUGGGACUGAGACACGGCCCAGACUCCUACGGGAGGCAGCAGUGGGGAAUAUUGCACAAUGGGCGCAAGCCUGAUGCAGCGACGCCGCGUGAGGGAUGGAGGCCUUCGGGUUGUGAACCUCUUUCGCCAGUGAAGCAGGCCUGUCCCUUGUGGGUGGGUUGACGGUAGCUGGAGAAGAAGCGCCGGCUAACUACGUG